RNAcentral lists this ribosomal RNA (429 nucleotides) under Actinomycetes bacterium. RNAcentral's name for it is "Actinobacteria bacterium partial 16S ribosomal RNA". It matches the Rfam family "Bacterial small subunit ribosomal RNA", at positions 355 to 776 of the family's 1533-position model. Lineage: Bacteria; Bacillati; Actinomycetota; Actinomycetes. The record is from RNAcentral.
UAGGGAACCUUCCGCAAUGGGCGAAAGCUUGACGGAGCAACGACGCGUGAGUGAUGAAGGGCGUCGGAACGUAAAACUCGGUUAUUAGGGAAGAACAAAGGUGUAAGGAAAUAGGCACGUCUGGACGGGACCUAAUCAGAAAGCCACGGCGAACGACGUGCCAGCAGCCGCGGUAAUACGUAGGUGGCAAGCGUUAUCCGGAAUUAUUUGGCGUAAAGCGCGCGUAGGCGGUUUUUUAAGUCUGAUGUGAAAGCCCACGGCUCAACCGUGGAGGGUCAUUGGAAACUGGAAAACUUGAGUGCAGAAGAGGAAAGUGGAAUUCCAUGUGUAGCGGUAAAAUGCGCAGUGAUAUGGAGGAACACCAGUGGCGAAGGCGACUUUCUGGUCUGUAACUGACGCUAAUGUGCGAAAGCGUGGGGAUCAAACAGG